UUUAUGGAGAGUUUGAUCCUGGCUCAGGAUGAACGCUGGCGGCGUGCCUAAUACAUGCAAGUCGAGCGAACAGAUAAGGAGCUUGCUCCUUUGACGUUAGCGGCGGACGGGUGAGUAACACGUGGGUAACCUACCUAUAAGACUGGAAUAACUCCGGGAAACCGGGGCUAAUGCCGGAUAACAUGUUGAACCGCAUGGUUCUACAGUGAAAGACGGUCUUGCUGUCACUUAUAGAUGGACCCGCGCCGUAUUAGCUAGUUGGUGGGGUAACGGCCUACCAAGGCGACGAUACGUAGCCGACCUGAGAGGGUGAUCGGCCACACUGGAACUGAGACACGGUCCAGACUCCUACGGGAGG
RNAcentral lists this ribosomal RNA (358 nucleotides) under Staphylococcus pseudintermedius. Its description in RNAcentral is "bacterial SSU rRNA". It matches the Rfam family "Bacterial small subunit ribosomal RNA", at positions 1 to 348 of the family's 1533-position model. Lineage: Bacteria; Bacillati; Bacillota; Bacilli; Caryophanales; Staphylococcaceae. The record is from RNAcentral.